CAGCUCCAGGCCUUGUCUGCUGGCGACUGGAGAAGCGAGACACGCUGCAUCCGGAAUUCCUAACCUCUGGUUCAAGUAUCCUUGUGAGUUGUCCAUGGAGAGAUUUUAGAAAAUGGAAAAUCCCUCUGAGGAUCAGACAGAUUGAAAAAUCUCCUAAAAUAAGUUGACUUAACUACUCCUCCCUCAGCCUGAAACUAUUUCUGCAUUCCAGAGGUUUCUGGAAGUGGUAGCUUCAAUGGAAUCACAAAAGACGAUGCUGCCGGGGGAUGUCAGGACACAGAGUGUCCCUCAGAUGACGUAUCAGGAAUGUCUGAAAAUAUGUGCAAUAAGGUGAUGGCCUUCAGAGUCCAGGAAUUCAGAAAUAAAUGAGAAGUUUUACAGUCAAAGCAGCUGAGGCUUAUGGAAUGGAGUUAAAGUAAACUUUCUCAAGGUUGCAUGGUUAAUAUGGGUGGAACAAGAAUUCAGAAAUGCCUGCUCUAGUUUCGGAAACCAGACUCGUAAGACAAUCAGCAGUUCCAGGUGCUCUAAUAAUGCUGCAUCCGGAUGGACUGAAAAAUGGCUCUUGAAUCUGACAGGAAGAAGACAUAUUGAGUUGGCAUAACAUGAAGAAGAACACAUUAUAAUAGUGUAAAGACACAGCACAUGAGAUAAAGUAUUCUGUGGUUAUAACAGUCCUAAUAAAGAGCAGGCUCAAGUCACGAAACACUGCAACAGUGAAGAUAAUGUCACUUCCUAACAGAUAAUCUCUAAAAAUGCUUUAAAAUGACUAAGUGAAAAAUAAAAUCUUAGAGGCUUAGUAAGAUAAAUAUUCCAAGCUAUGCUU
Molecule: non-coding RNA, 823 nt
Organism: Sus scrofa (pig)
Lineage: Eukaryota; Metazoa; Chordata; Mammalia; Artiodactyla; Suidae
Source: RefSeq, a predicted model, not a curated record